RNAcentral lists this ribosomal RNA (407 nucleotides) under uncultured bacterium. Its description in RNAcentral is "partial 16S ribosomal RNA". It matches the Rfam family "Bacterial small subunit ribosomal RNA", at positions 29 to 526 of the family's 1533-position model. The record is from RNAcentral.
AGUGAACGCUGGCGGCAGGCCUAACACAUGCAAGUCGAACGGAGUGGCGGACGGGUGAGGAAUACAUCGGAACCUACUCUGUCGCGGGGGUAAACGUCGGGAAACGGGCGCUAAUCCCGCAUACUAUCAGCUUAGCCUAGGAUGGACUAGCUAGUAGGUGGGGUAAAGGCCUACCAAGGCGACGAUCCGUAACUGGUCUGAGAGGAUGAUCGGUCACACUGGAACUGAGACACGGUCCAGACUCCUACGGGAGGCAGCAGUGGGGAAUAUUGGGCAAUGGGCGAAAGCCUGAUCCAGCCAUGCCGCGGGUGUGAAGAAGGUCUUCGGAUUGUAAAGCACUUUAAGUUGGGAGGCGUUACCUACAGAGUAAGCACCGGCUAACUACGUGCCAGCCGCCGCGGUAAUUC